AUGCAGCCCAAUGCUGCCUAAACUCGAAACAUGAAAGUCGAGAGUUUUACGUAUAUAUAGGUAAAUUACAGAACGAAGUUAAUCAACCAGAUGAAGAGAAAAAUGGGCGAUAGAAAGAAAGGAGAUGCCAAAAAAGCAAGAACAGAAUGGCCAUCGAUCAAACCAAAACCUAAUCUCCGCAUCACUAGUCUCAAAGACACCGAUCUCUUUACUGUGCAGAAUUUUUUCACGUCUGCGGAAUCAAAGGCAUUCGUCAAAGCUGCAGAAUCUAUUGGGUUUGUUCACCAAGGGAGUCUUGGCCCCACAAAAGGCGAAGCAUAUAGAGACAAUGAUCGAAUUUCUGUGAACGAUCCUGUUCUUGCAGAGGCAAUAUGGGAAUCUGGACUUAACAAACUAUUGUCUGAUUUUAAGAUUCGUGGGAAAGUUGCUGUCGGACUGAAUUCAAAUAUCAGAUUGUAUAGGUACAAAGUUAGUCAACGCUUUGGACGGCAUAUUGAUGAAAGUGUUGAUCUUGGAGAGGGAAAGCGAACCCAUUAUACCUUGUUAAUAUACCUAAGUGGUGGUGUCAAACCCAAAUCUAAAAAUGACCUGAGCAACCCACAGGAUUCUUCCUCUGAGACUCUAGUUGGAGGAGAGACUGUCUUCUAUGGUCCCAGAAAUGGUAUUGUGGCCGAGGUUCCUCCUACUGAAGGGAUGGCUCUCCUCCACAUUCAUGGUGAUAAGUGUAUGCUGCAUGAAGCCCGGAAUGUUACUAAGGGUGUCAAGUAUGUGUUACGGUCUGACGUAGUUUUUGCUCAAUGAGGGCCAGGUGUUAUCAUUAGAAGUUCGCAGCUGAAUGGGGGACCACAGGCAGGACAGGGUCAGCCACCGGCUAACCGAUUCAAAAAGUUCGAGCAAACGCCCACGACAUACAUGUCUUGACCAGCUCAAUGGCUCGCCAUAGCGAAGGGCAAUCAUUCGGCUAUUCCACUGCUUAGAUGGGCAAGUUUCAAAGAAUUUCUAGAUUCUGUUCCUCAUUGUAUGUGAUCUCCAGUGGAGGCAAUGUAAGCUUACAUUUUACUUAUUUGACAUGAGUAUCCAGUCCCCAGUUGUCAGUAUGUAAUUUAGGAUGUUACCUGUAUCUCCAUUUCACAGAUCUAUCAAAAGUAUCUAUAUUGCCAAGAUUUAUUUUGUCUUCUUUUGUAAGAAUUAUUUUAUUUUAGAGUUAAUUGUUAUUUUCUUUGGUUA
Molecule: RNA transcript, 1227 nt
Organism: Cornus florida
Lineage: Eukaryota; Viridiplantae; Streptophyta; Magnoliopsida; Cornales; Cornaceae
Exons: 6
Source: RefSeq, a predicted model, not a curated record